GCACAAGCGGUGGAGCAUGUGGUUUAAUUCGACGCAACGCGAAGAACCUUACCUGGGCUUGACAUCCCGAUCGUACCUGCUGGAAACAGCGGGGUCAGUUCGGCUGGAUCGGAGACAGGUGCCGCAUGGCUGUCGUCAGCUCGUGUCGUGAGAUGUUGGGUUAAGUCCCGCAACGAGCGCAACCCUUGUCCUUAGUUGCCAUCAUUUAGUUGGGCACUCUAAGGAGACUGCCGGUGUUAAACCGGAGGAAGGUGGGGAUGACGUCAAGUCCUCAUGGCCCUUAUGUCCAGGGCUACACACGUGCUACAAUGGUUGGUACAACGAGUUGCGAGUCGGUGACGGCGAGCUAAUCUCUUAAAGCCAAUCUCAGUUCGGAUUGUAGGCUGCAACUCGCCUACAUGAAGUCGGAAUCGCUAGUAAUCGCGGAUCAGCACGCCGCGGUCGAAUACGUUCCGGGCCUU
This 461-nucleotide ribosomal RNA is filed under the name uncultured Desulfuromonas sp. RNAcentral's name for it is "bacterial SSU rRNA". It matches the Rfam family "Bacterial small subunit ribosomal RNA", at positions 923 to 1382 of the family's 1533-position model. Lineage: Bacteria; Pseudomonadati; Thermodesulfobacteriota; Desulfuromonadia; Desulfuromonadales; Desulfuromonadaceae. The record is from RNAcentral.